Molecule: ribosomal RNA, 484 nt
Filed under: uncultured bacterium
Lineage: Bacteria
Description: bacterial SSU rRNA
Rfam family: Bacterial small subunit ribosomal RNA
Source: RNAcentral
UUUCGCAAUGCCCGAAAGGGUGACGAAGCGACGCCGCGUGCGGGAAGAAGGCCUUCGGGUUGUAAACCGCUGUCGGGAGUUAAGAAAUGUAAGGAUGUUAAUAGCAUCUUUGCUUGACUAAGGCUCCGGAGGAAGCCACGGCUAACUCUGUGCCAGCAGCCGCGGUAAUGCAGAGGCGGCAAGCGUUGUUCGGAAUUAUUGGGCGUAAAGAGCACGUAGGCGGCUAUGUAAGUCGGUUGUGAAAGCCUUCCGCUCAACGGGAGAACAGCAUCCGAUACUGCAUGGCUUGAGUGCGGGAGGGGAGAGUGGAACUUCUGGUGGAGCGGUGAAAUGCGUAGAUAUCAGAUGGAACGCCGGCGGCGAAAGCGGCUCUCUGGCCCAUAACUGACGCUGAGUGUGCGAAAGCUAGGGGAGCAAACGGGAUUAGAUACCCCGGUAGUCCUAGCCGUAAACGAUGGGCACUAAGUAGAGGGGUUUUAAUCUC